RNAcentral lists this ribosomal RNA (2837 nucleotides) under Staphylococcus aureus. RNAcentral's name for it is "partial 23S ribosomal RNA". It matches the Rfam family "Bacterial large subunit ribosomal RNA". Lineage: Bacteria; Bacillati; Bacillota; Bacilli; Caryophanales; Staphylococcaceae. The record is from RNAcentral.
GAUUAAGUUAUUAAGGGCGCACGGUGGAUGCCUUGGCACUAGAAGCCGAUGAAGGACGUUACUAACGACGAUAUGCUUUGGGGAGCUGUAAGUAAGCUUUGAUCCAGAGAUUUCCGAAUGGGGAAACCCAGCAUGAGUUAUGUCAUGUUAUCGAUAUGUGAAUACAUAGCAUAUCAGAAGGCACACCCGGAGAACUGAAACAUCUUAGUACCCGGAGGAAGAGAAAGAAAAUUCGAUUCCCUUAGUAGCGGCGAGCGAAACGGGAAGAGCCCAAACCAACAAGCUUGCUUGUUGGGGUUGUAGGACACUCUAUACGGAGUUACAAAGGACGACAUUAGACGAAUCAUCUGGAAAGAUGAAUCAAAGAAGGUAAUAAUCCUGUAGUCGAAAAUGUUGUCUCUCUUGAGUGGAUCCUGAGUACGACGGAGCACGUGAAAUUCCGUCGGAAUCUGGGAGGACCAUCUCCUAAGGCUAAAUACUCUCUAGUGACCGAUAGUGAACCAGUACCGUGAGGGAAAGGUGAAAAGCACCCCGGAAGGGGAGUGAAAUAGAACCUGAAACCGUGUGCUUACAAGUAGUCAGAGCCCGUUAAUGGGUGAUGGCGUGCCUUUUGUAGAAUGAACCGGCGAGUUACGAUUUGAUGCAAGGUUAAGCAGUAAAUGUGGAGCCGUAGCGAAAGCGAGUCUGAAUAGGGCGUUUAGUAUUUGGUCGUAGACCCGAAACCAGGUGAUCUACCCUUGGUCAGGUUGAAGUUCAGGUAACACUGAAUGGAGGACCGAACCGACUUACGUUGAAAAGUGAGCGGAUGAACUGAGGGUAGCGGAGAAAUUCCAAUCGAACCUGGAGAUAGCUGGUUCUCUCCGAAAUAGCUUUAGGGCUAGCCUCAAGUGAUGAUUAUUGGAGGUAGAGCACUGUUUGGACGAGGGGCCCCUCUCGGGUUACCGAAUUCAGACAAACUCCGAAUGCCAAUUAAUUUAACUUGGGAGUCAGAACAUGGGUGAUAAGGUCCGUGUUCGAAAGGGAAACAGCCCAGACCACCAGCUAAGGUCCCAAAAUAUAUGUUAAGUGGAAAAGGAUGUGGCGUUGCCCAGACAACUAGGAUGUUGGCUUAGAAGCAGCCAUCAUUUAAAGAGUGCGUAAUAGCUCACUAGUCGAGUGACACUGCGCCGAAAAUGUACCGGGGCUAAACAUAUUACCGAAGCUGUGGAUUGUCCUUUGGACAAUGGUAGGAGAGCGUUCUAAGGGCGUUGAAGCAUGAUCGUAAGGACAUGUGGAGCGCUUAGAAGUGAGAAUGCCGGUGUGAGUAGCGAAAGACGGGUGAGAAUCCCGUCCACCGAUUGACUAAGGUUUCCAGAGGAAGGCUCGUCCGCUCUGGGUUAGUCGGGUCCUAAGCUGAGGCCGACAGGCGUAGGCGAUGGAUAACAGGUUGAUAUUCCUGUACCACCUAUAAUCGUUUUAAUCGAUGGGGGGACGCAGUAGGAUAGGCGAAGCGUGCGAUUGGAUUGCACGUCUAAGCAGUAAGGCUGAGUAUUAGGCAAAUCCGGUACUCGUUAAGGCUGAGCUGUGAUGGGGAGAAGACAUUGUGUCUUCGAGUCGUUGAUUUCACACUGCCGAGAAAAGCCUCUAGAUAGAAAAUAGGUGCCCGUACCGCAAACCGACACAGGUAGUCAAGAUGAGAAUUCUAAGGUGAGCGAGCGAACUCUCGUUAAGGAACUCGGCAAAAUGACCCCGUAACUUCGGGAGAAGGGGUGCUCUUUAGGGUUAACGCCCAGAAGAGCCGCAGUGAAUAGGCCCAAGCGACUGUUUAUCAAAAACACAGGUCUCUGCUAAACCGUAAGGUGAUGUAUAGGGGCUGACGCCUGCCCGGUGCUGGAAGGUUAAGAGGAGUGGUUAGCUUCUGCGAAGCUACGAAUCGAAGCCCCAGUAAACGGCGGCCGUAACUAUAACGGUCCUAAGGUAGCGAAAUUCCUUGUCGGGUAAGUUCCGACCCGCACGAAAGGCGUAACGAUUUGGGCACUGUCUCAACGAGAGACUCGGUGAAAUCAUAGUACCUGUGAAGAUGCAGGUUACCCGCGACAGGACGGAAAGACCCCGUGGAGCUUUACUGUAGCCUGAUAUUGAAAUUCGGCACAGCUUGUACAGGAUAGGUAGGAGCCUUUGAAACGUGAGCGCUAGCUUACGUGGAGGCGCUGGUGGGAUACUACCCUAGCUGUGUUGGCUUUCUAACCCGCACCACUUAUCGUGGUGGGAGACAGUGUCAGGCGGGCAGUUUGACUGGGGCGGUCGCCUCCUAAAAGGUAACGGAGGCGCUCAAAGGUUCCCUCAGAAUGGUUGGAAAUCAUUCAUAGAGUGUAAAGGCAUAAGGGAGCUUGACUGCGAGACCUACAAGUCGAGCAGGGUCGAAAGACGGACUUAGUGAUCCGGUGGUUCCGCAUGGAAGGGCCAUCGCUCAACGGAUAAAAGCUACCCCGGGGAUAACAGGCUUAUCUCCCCCAAGAGUUCACAUCGACGGGGAGGUUUGGCACCUCGAUGUCGGCUCAUCGCAUCCUGGGGCUGUAGUCGGUCCCAAGGGUUGGGCUGUUCGCCCAUUAAAGCGGUACGCGAGCUGGGUUCAGAACGUCGUGAGACAGUUCGGUCCCUAUCCGUCGUGGGCGUAGGAAAUUUGAGAGGAGCUGUCCUUAGUACGAGAGGACCGGGAUGGACAUACCUCUGGUGUACCAGUUGUCGUGCCAACGGCAUAGCUGGGUAGCUAUGUGUGGACGGGAUAAGUGCUGAAAGCAUCUAAGCAUGAAGCCCCCCUCAAGAUGAGAUUUCCCAACUUCGGUUAUAAGAUCCCU